RNAcentral lists this ribosomal RNA (496 nucleotides) under uncultured bacterium. RNAcentral describes it as "partial 16S ribosomal RNA". It matches the Rfam family "Bacterial small subunit ribosomal RNA", at positions 28 to 506 of the family's 1533-position model. The record is from RNAcentral.
GAUGAACGCUGGCGGCGUGCCUAAUACAUGCAAGUCGAGCGAACAGAUGAGGAGCUUGCUCCUCUGACGUUAGCGGCGGACGGGUGAGUAACACGUGGAUAACCUACCUAUAAGACUGGGAUAACUUCGGGAAACCGGAGCUAAUACCGGAUAAUAUAUUGAACCGCAUGGUUCAAUAGUGAAAGACGGUUUUGCUGUCACUUAUAGAUGGAUCCGCGCCGCAUUAGCUAGUUGGUAAGGUAACGGCUUACCAAGGCAACGAUGCGUAGCCGACCUGAGAGGGUGCUCGGCCACGCUGGAACUGAGACACGGUCCAGACUCCUACGGGAGGCAGCAGUAGGGAAUCUUCCGCAAUGGGCGAAAGCCUGACGGAGCAACGCCGCGUGAGUGAUGAAGGGCUUCGGAUCGUAAAACUCUGUUAUUAGGGAAGAACAAAUGUGUAAGUAACUAUGCACGUCUUGACGGUACCUAAUCAGAAAGCCACGGCUAACUACGU